GAAUGAAGACACACAGCAGUCAGUGAGCUCUAAACAGGAUUUCCAAACUUUAUUUCCUGUGUAGAGGUGUACCAUGGGGGCAAUCACAGUUAGUGGACUUCCUUCUUAUUAGUCUGAGUGCAAACGUAAAUAUCAGCAAAAGAAAAAAAGAGCAUUUUCAAUUCUUCAUCAUUAAAGUAAAGCCUAAACGUCAGAGCUCAGAGAGGAACCGGAGAGAGAUGGAGCGCGACGGAGUGAACAAAGAAAUUAUUCAUGACACCUUGCGUCUGAACGUUUGUGUAUUUUAAUAAAACAGUGGUGUUAGUUUGAAAUUUUUCAUCACCACAGCGAUAAAUCACAUUCCCAAGUUUGAUUCUGUAAUGCUUGUUUAUGCAAAUCAUGGAAUAAUAGAUUCAAAUUUGAUCAGUUAUCAAACAUUAAUACUCAGUGUUACUCAGUUCAUUAUUAUUAUUUAACACGGUUAACUUUAAGUUGAACGUUUAAAACAUUUCCAACGUGACUAAUCACGGAGUCCACUUUAUAAAUGAGAAGUUUAUACGUGAAGCUCUUUUAGACUCGUUCUUGAAUUUAGAUUUUGCCUAAUUUCAAAAUACACUGCAUACUGUACAUAACACACAACGGAUUAUUAGCAUACAGCUAAUCCUGACUCUGCAUGCUAGCAGCUAGCAUGUGUAAGGCGUUAUCAUCCCUGCUGCUUUCAACACACGAUACGCUUCCUAUUGGGAACACUGUUGCUAGGCAACUAGGACAUUAAAAAUGAAAUCCACUCAAUUAUUUAGAAAAGACUGAUAGUCAGCAGUUUGUUUGAAAUUACAACCUGAUAUAAACAUGGAUAUUAAACCAACAUGAACAAAAGCUGUAGUUACAGCUAACAAAGCGAAAUAUAUUGAUAUAUUAUUAGACAGCUAACGUUUGAGUAAGGCAGCUAGGAAAUAUAAACACUGAGAACAGGAGCUAGCUAGUACCUCAGGCUGACUAGCUAGCAAACAGUGACGGAGGAAAUGCGACAGAAACAAGUUUCGUCUCGUCCACUAGCUAGUUACAAUUUGCCUUUUUUAUUAGCUAGCAUGCUAAGUUUUGGCUCGUUUAACCAGCUCAAUUUAGGCUAAAUGAUAAAUCUGGGAUUGUUAACUAGCUAGCUUGCUUUGUAGUGAAUGGCACUUAGUAAAACAAUAUGAUGUAUUUUAUUGCUAAAGCGGGCCGUUGUGUUGGAGCUUCUCAUAAACAUGUCUUUAUUUAAACACAGCAUUAUAUUAGUGAAGAAAAUUAAAAAAAACAAAAAAACAAACAUAUAUCAUCAUAUUAGUGUUUGAUAACUGAUCAAAGAAAUCCAGUUGAGUUUUCUCUGUGUGCCGUAAAAACUCAAAUUUGAUGAUAACGCAAGGCGUCGAUGGUCGAGAGACAUAGAGAGAGAGAGAGAGAGAGAGAGAGAGAGAGAAUCAAACGAGAAAACAACAUUAUCAAAGAUAUUAUUAAACCCCUGAAAAAACGAGUCCAUCUGAGCAGCGGGGGGAAAAGGCGGGGAAAUGACGACGACAACACACACACACACGCACACACACACACACACACACACACACACACACACACACUGCUCAGUGAAGGAAAUUAGACAUACAUCUAAAAGGCAAUAUUUGUCAUUCUUGAGUUGACUAAAGGGUUUAAAAUAAAUAUGUGAUAACGCCGAGGCCGUAACACACUCGCCUCGAUUUCACUGUACACUAUAUACACACAAACUCGCAAUGACAAAAUAACCUUUCAUGUAGAAUAAUCUAUCGUCAAAUAAUAAUAAUACAACCAUGGCAACAAGCAAGAAGAGGUGUUGUUAUUAUUAUUAUUAAUAUCAUCAUUAAUAUCGUUAUUAUCAUUAUUAUUAUUAUUAUUGUUAUUAAUAUUAUUAUUUGUACAAGUACCCAUGCAUUCCCCGUCAUUAAAAUCCUCAGAGCACUGUCCGGAACGACAGAUACUGCCUUUUCUUCUUCUUUUCUUUUUGACGUAUGUGCAAGAUAAAACUGCAAAUAAAAUCGAAAUAUAUCUACACAAACAUCUACAUCUUUCGAAACCUUUCAUCGACGACAUUGAGUUACUGCGUACUAUACAGACAGGUUAGCAUCCAUGCACAGUGUCAACAACUAGCACGUUAACAUUCCAAAUAUGAAACAAGGGGCGGGGUUUGGGGAAUGGGUACUUUGGAAAGAGGGAGGGACUUUGAAAUGCAAGACCGCCUACAAUCGGUGCGGACAAAAUUUGAGACGCAGAAACGUGCCGUCGGACUCCGAUCCCGAACACGUAGCCAGGGUUAGGAGUAAAGUGCGAGUGAACUAGCAAAAACUAUUUCUUCUUAUUAUUUUUACUUAUUUUGUAUAUAUUUUACAUUUUCAGUUAAAUUGACGUAAAAACACAAAUCUAGAUAAAAGAUCCUGUUAUAUUAUUCUUUUUUAGAUGAUCGGAUUAAAAUGGGCCUUUUCAGAAGCACGGGUGCUUUUUAUUAUAAUUCGUUGUAACGAUCAUUAAAAACCGUGUAAACAUGCAGAAUUAUUUAUUAUUUUAAAUGAUCAAGAUUUUAUCAAGAAUUCAUUGAAUCUAAGUAACAGUUACUAAAAAAAACGUGCAAUCUGGGUAAUAAUAGUCACUAAAUAAACAUAACAUCGCAUAACUCGACAUAACUACUCGUUAUGGUUUAAAAAUGAAACUCGAAAUUAACAAUAUUGUCAGCAAUUGGCGUAAAAAUUCAAAUCUAGCUUUUAAUCAUCAAGCUAUCAUGAGCUAUUUCCCUUAAGUACUAGUGUUUUUAUUUGAAUUAAUUGAGGAGUAACAAUCAUAAAGAAAACGUGCAAUUUGUGAUAAAAGGAAAAUGAGAUAAUGUCAUAAUGUCACACAGCGCAAUACGAUUAUAUUGCACUAGAUUGAACAUUUUCUGUGAAACUGGUGUAAAUGUAGCUAUUUUAGCCGUGUUUUUCCCCUAAGUGCAUAAAAAGAAAAAGGUGUAAUUUCAGACAAAAAAAAAAAAAUGUUGCUAAACACGCAGCUAGCUAAUCUGUUAGUUAGCGGCAUGUAUGAAAUGAAAUCCUAUUAUAAAUUACCACUUGGUUCAAAGUUUUAAGGAUAAAUGUAUGCUACGUUACAGCUAGCUUAGGAAACUAUGCUAAUAUGCUACAGGCUCAGAAAUAAAACAUGAGCAGAUUAUAGCAGUUUCUGAAUAUAGUGUUAGAAUUUCUAGCAUUAUCCAUUCAUUUAAUGUUAGUUAGCGCUGUCUCCUAGCGGCUAACACCUGAUUGAUAGUUUUGCUAGCGCACUCAUAUUUAUAAACCCGACGCUGUCGCCUUCCAGGACCGGAGUGUGACGACACGCUGUAGACGCGUCCAACUGACCGAGACGACACACAUACACACACUGAGAUGUAGACACAUUUUGAGACACGCGCCGCGAUCAGCAGGAGGCCACGCCCACAGGAAGUCCGUUGCGGCAGAUUAUGGCUGUAAUUCACACGCAUCCACCGUCCUCAUCUUCAUCUUCUUGCUUUUAUUUCUUUCUUUAUAUUGUUUUUCAAGGAAUAUCAAGGCUCUGUGUCUUUGUCUUUGUCCUUUUUCUUAAUUUAUUGUUUUGAGUGUGAGUGUGUGUGAGUGUGUGUGUGUGUGUGUGUGUGCGUGUGUGUGUGUGUGAGUGUGUGUUUUUCUUUGUAUUGCAACACCGUCCAUGUCGUUCAUCUCCAUAAAGAAACAUCUGGGAACCGUUUAAAUUUUUGUAAAAAAAAAAAAAAAAACCCAAAACAAACGAAAUAAAACAAGAAAAGGAAAAAUAAAAGGACGGCUAGUUUGGCCUUUUUCCUUCAGCAUUAAACUACAGCUAUCACACAUCCUGAUAUUUUCACUAAGAAUUAGCACUAAACACUUGAGUUUUGUAGAUUUUGUAUAAAUUCUCGUACGAAAGCCCUCUAAAGCCAUUUUUCAAACUUUACGUUUUAAUUCUUUUCUUUCGGUAAAAAAACGUUAGCAUCAAAUACAAAACCCAGUCGUAUCGCUAGAAUUGUGUUUUAGAAACGAUUUUACAAUUUUUCCCUUUGGCAAUUUUUUCUUAUCAUCAAGCUAAACUACAAUUAGCAUUUAUUCCAAAUCUAAGUGUAUCGAGUCUUAACUGCUAGCAUGUCUACUCUAGAUUAGCGUGAAAAUCUGGACUUUAAAAGGACAACUAGAUAAAAAAACUCUGUUUAUUUUUAAAGCCAGUCUAAUCUGAAAUCUUUACCUUCUUUAAUUUUAAAAAAAGAAAACAUGCUAGCUACGUUCGGUGUCGUAUCCGGGCUAGUCUACAAGCUUAAAACCAGACUCAAUCGAGCGGCUGUGUCUAAAACCAUGCUAAUCUGCUAAAGUGUUAGCCUUACUUAUAUAAUCUCAGCAGGACUGGAGGGAGCGCACGCCCUCGUAAACUCCACUGUGUGUGUGUGUGUGUGUUGCGGGUGUGUGUGUGUGUAACAGUCAUCAGUGUAAACUCGGGCAGAAACAACACACAGGAUAACACACUAAUCUAACGAGGCCUAUCAGUCUCUGAAAAUUGUCCUGUUUAAAGUCAAUAAAAGCCAAAGAAACGUUUUUUAAAAAAUCAAUCGGACUUGUUUUACAAAACGACGCAAAAAAUGAUCUUUAACAAAGAUUUUAAUGUGUAGCCAUUCGAUGUGGGGCGUGUUUGUUAAUUUAAUGAACACAUCUGAAUGGACUGAAUGGGGGAAGAAACACACACUGGACACAGAGAAUGGGCGCUAGCUACGCGCUGAGACGGACUAGCUAGCUUUAUCCGAAAGCGUAAAGACGAACUGAGCGAGGAAACGUCACAGAACUUUCUGGAACGUCAACAAUAACUCACUGAACGAAUCUCGGUUGUGACCAAAAGAUUCGGCACACACGCUGUUACACAUAUGACCCACACAAUUCACAGACUUUUACAAAACACUGACGGAUUAAAAAUAUAACAUAAACCUAUGUAAAAAAAUCUCUGGAAAUGUAGUGGUUUGGCUUCAGGUUUCAGUUUUGUGGUUUGCAAUAGCGAAGCCCAUCAGCAGCAACUGAACGAAAGGAAUGACUCGGUGCGUGGCAGUGAACGAUACUGAUUCAGUUUAGUGACUCCUUUAAAAAGACUAAAUUGUUCACAAACGAAUCAUGUCUAGUGCAUGAUACUGAUUCGUUCACUUCAGUGAUCCGUUCAAAAAGACGGAAUCAUUCAUGAAUGAAACAUGUCUAGUGACUGGUACAGAUUCGGUCAUUGAAGUGAUUCGUUUAAAAAGACCGAAUUGUGAUCCGAACACGGCCGAUCCUGAUCCUUUCACGUCAGUGAUUUGUUCAAAAAAUAUGGAUUCAUUCACAAACGAAUCAUGUCUAGUGAACGAUACUGAUUCAUUCACCUUAUGACUUGUUCAAAAAGACUGAAUCAUUUGUGAUUUGUGAACUCUGUCUCUUUCCUCUUCACCAGCGCAGAUGGUGUAUUCUGUUUUCCGUCAAGUUUUUCCAGCGAUCCUUUAACUAACUGAUUUCUUACAACAGUUUCUGAACAAUAUUUGUAAGCUAUAAGUUAAAGAUACGUUUAAUGAAACUAUGCUACUUUGUGCAACCGUAUACGUUUUUAGUAGCUCAUAAUUUUUUUUUAAAUGAUUUUACAUUCACAUGAAGUUACAAUCAAAUUAGUUGAUUAGCUAAAGGUGCGUUAGGACUGACUUAUAAAUAAUCUUGUUGUCAGAGUUAUUGUAGUGUUUAGGUGAAUAAAAUUUCCCAGGAUUUUCUCACUCUGUUGUUAGCAAUAACACCAUAAACAUGCUCUACGUGUUAGUAUGUUAGCCUGUUGUGAGCUAGCAGUUACUUAUCGGACUUUUAGUAAGUUUUAGCACGUAACUUUACAGAGUUUAAACGUCAAAUCAACCACAAAGACCACAGAAGGAGGGUAGUAGUGCAUGUUUCAUAAAAUACAGUCAUCAGAACUACGCUACCCAGAAUUCCGUUCUCUCAAAUCCAGCAUUUCCUGAAACCUGGGCUAAUGUACGACGUAAAGUGUUUUAGUACUGGCUUGUCAUCAAGGUUGUCAAGUUUCAUAUUAUUUUUUUUUUUACAUAUUAUUCUCUGCAAAAUCACACCCUCUCUUCACAGCCAAUGGGGAUCUUUGACCAGCCAACAAGCGUCCAAUCAGAUUAAGUCUUUCAGCCUGAGGCACUGAAAGAGGAGCGUGAGGUGGCAGAGAGGAAAUAAAUAAAAUUGGACAUUUUACAGCAUGUUAUAGCUCAUUUCUUUCUCAUUCGAUUUCAGUCAUUCCUCAGUUGUUGUAUCACGACAAAAAAGAAACAAAAAUAACUAAAUCUUAUUAGCAGAGGUUAGCAAAGUUCUGCUGUUACUAGCCCCUCAUUCAUUCAUCUUUAUUCUUUUCUUAUCAUUUUCCUGUGCGUUAGCUAUCUAUACUCUGAAAUGGGGAAAAUAAAAUAAAUUAUCCACGUCCUGUCUGAUGUAGCUUCCUUCAUGUUAGCACCCGUCCUUCUUCAUAACCUGUGUGUGUGUAUAUGUGACAAUGUGUGAGCGUACGCAUCUUCAUAUGGACAUCAGUGUGUUGGUAUGAGUGUGUGUGCGUGUGGUUCCAUGCGCAUGUGUGUGUGUUUAGAAGCCCUUAAUGUGGCAGUAAGCCUCGAGUGAGGAGAACAAGAUGUAGAUCAGCCACAAGCUGACAAAGAGCAUGGUUGUGAGCACUUUGGCAGUCCUCGGGCCUCCCAGCUCUCCACCGAUGUCGGGUCGGCGCCGGUACAUGAGCGUAGCCACGCAGAUGAAGGCGAAGAUGGUGAAGAGUGUGACUGAGAAGGCCAGGCUGCCUGGCUCCACACGAAAUUCACGCCCUUUCGAUUGGUGGUAGAUGGCGGCGAUGGACCAUGCCACACCGAUGCCCAGGAACACAUUCACCGCAUUGCUGCCCGUCACGUUCCCGAUAGACGCAUCGGCAUACUGGUCCUGGAUCGCAGCCACUUUACUGGCGAAGGUGUCUGGAGAAAAAAAUAAAGAAAGAGAAGCAUACAUUAAGCUGGUGGAAGACUUUGAAAGGUUUGAAUGCUGCCCUCUAGUGGAAAAUACUGCAGUGACAUCCACAGUUUUAUAUCAUCGGUCAUGAAAAAUUGCAUAACAGUUAUAUCCAUUGCAUAAAGUCACACUUUCAGAUAGGGGAUCCAAAAAUGUUGCUUUCAAUUUUACAACUGCAUAAUAGUAAAGAAGGAAUAGUGGGCUGUAAAUAAACUGUAGUUACACUGAGGUAAAUAAAGUGUGUUCUAGUUACACUGAGGUAAAUAAAGUAUACCAUCAUUACACUGAGGUAAAUAAAGCAUAUUGUAUAUAAAAUAAAGUGUGUUAUAGUUACACUGAGGUAAAUAAAGCGUGUUAUAUAUAAAGUAUGUUAUAGUUACACUGAGGAAAAUAAAGUGUGUUAUAGUUACACUGAGGUUAAUAAAGUGUGUUAUAGUUACACUGAGGUAAAUAAAGUGUGUUAUAGUUACACUGAGGUUAAUAAAGUGUGUUAUAGUUUAUAGUUAUAGUUACAGUGAGGUAAAUAAAGUGUGUUAUAGUUACACUGAGGUUAAUAAAGUGUGUUAUAGUUUAUAGUUAUAGUUACAGUGAGGUAAAUAAAGUGUGUUAUAUAUAAAAUAAAGUGUGUUAUAGUUACACUGAGGAAAAUAAAGUGUGUUAUAGUUACACUGAGGAAAAUAAAGUGUGUUAUAGUUACACUGAGGUAAAUAAAGUGUUUUAUAUAUAAAAUAAAGAGUGUUAUAUAUAAAAUAAAGUGUGUUAUAGUUACACUGAGGUAGAUAAAGUGUGUUAUAGUUACACUGAGAUAAAGUGUGUUAUAUAUAAAAUAAAGUGUGUUAUAGUUACACUGAGGUAAAUAAAGUGUUUUAUAUAUAAAAUAAAGAGUGUUAUAUAUAAAAUAAAGUGUGUUAUAGUUACACUGAGGUAGAUAAAGUGUGUUAUAGUACACUGAGAUAAAGUG
Molecule: long non-coding RNA, 7998 nt
Organism: Ictalurus punctatus (channel catfish)
Lineage: Eukaryota; Metazoa; Chordata; Actinopteri; Siluriformes; Ictaluridae
Source: Ensembl